Molecule: long non-coding RNA, 1073 nt
Organism: Anolis carolinensis (green anole)
Lineage: Eukaryota; Metazoa; Chordata; Lepidosauria; Squamata; Anolidae
Exons: 4
Source: RefSeq, a predicted model, not a curated record
UUUUCUGGGGUCAUAUUUCUAUUCUGAAGGCUUUUAAAAAUAAACAUAUACAUGUGUUACUCAUCAUGUGCUCAAAUGCACUGUUUUUGUUUUGUUGUUCUAAAGUAAUUGCUAAUACAAAUGUGGGGAAUGGUAAAAUCAAAUCCCAAGCUUUAGCACCUCCAACUAUCAUCUGUUCUGUAGGAUGGAGCACCAAGGCAGAUGUGGGGAAGGCUGCAGUACAGAGGAGGAGGAACUGAUGGAUUUACUCAUUCUCUCAUGAUCACCUAAGUUGCUAGACGCCAUCAGAGAUUAUGAAAAGAAGAAUGAAAACAAAGAACAGAAUAAUCCAUAUAACUGCAAAGGGAAUUGCAAUGAUGGAGUGGCACUGAAGAAACCAUAACUAACUAACUGAAUAAAGGAUAUAAUGGAGAAGGAAGGGGAAGAUUCUGGAAACAACUCCAUUUGUUCUAUCAUGAAAUGGGAACUGAAUUCCUUUCACUUGUUCUGUGUAGGUCAAAGCUGCUUCAUAAUAAACACCAUGUCAAUGAAAUGCUAACAUUGAAAGACUGGUGGGUGCUGAUCCUCAGGAAAGAGAGGAGCAUUAUAGCAGGGAAAGAGUUCUGUUGGCGGGAAAACGAGACCCAAUAUAGGUGUUUGGCGCGAGGGAUUCUUUGCGGAGUCAAUUGAUCAGCUUGAGGAGAGAGAUCGUGUGUGGACUUCGUAAUCCCAGUUCCUUGCUUCCCGGAUCAAGCUUCAAGCCUUGCCCUGUCUCACGGUUUUACCACGGACUCUGUUUCAUGCUUCAUGUUUGCCUUGUCUCCAGUCACGGAUCUAGCCAAGAAUCAAGUUUAUUUCCAGCCUUGUUGUCAAGCUUCAUUGGACUCUAAGACUCUGUUAUUUCCCCACACUAUUGCUUGGCAAAGUGUGUGUUUCGGUCAAGUGGAUUAAAACUUUGAACUCUAAUAUCAUUUAUUGGACUAUACAUUUUUGGACUAUAUUUGAACUCAUUUGAAAGGUCUGCUUCUGAACUAUAUUCUUCACUUGUUUUUAUUGAUUUUAUAUAUUUCUUUAAUAAAGAUAUUAGAUAGAGA